UGUUUUAGAGAACGAUCGUUGAGGCUAAGUAUUUCUAAAACUCUCAUGACAAAUUUUACUCUAGGUACUGCCAAAACAUAAAACUCAAUGGACGAAAAAAAAUUUCUCCUUUUUUCAGACCAUAUAUUAUGGUUAAUUAAUGGCAAAACAAUACUCCUACCAUAAUAAAUGAGUUUGCAAAAUGGUUAUCAUGUUUAUUAAAACAAAAUAAAGACAGCUUGUGUAACACCCGAACCUAAUUUCAUAAUUAAUUUUAUGGUUUAUAUGCAUGUCAUUAUCUUAAUUACUUUUAAGUGCAUGAAGUUUUGAUAUUGUGAUAUUAUAGAACAUAUAUGCUAUUUUAAUGUGAUGGAUAUAGCUUUAUAAAGGUAAGGAUAUAUAUAUAUAUAUAUAUAUAUGCAAAGUGAUAUUAUUUUUGUAUAAAAGUGUGAGUGUGAAUGUAAGAAAUUAUUUUUGUAGAAAGGUGUGAGUGUGAAUGCAAGAAAAUUGGAAAAGUGGGUGGUGAGAUUUUUCCUAAGCUCCACACGUAUUCCACCCAAAGUCCCCAUCUUUUAUCCCCUUUUUGCUGCCCAAAAAAUCUUCCCCUUAUCUCAUUUUCUUGGCUGCACCAGACAGAAAGUCCAGCCCUCUUUCCCUACUCUUUCCUUGUUCUUUGUUUCUCUCUUCUCCCCUUCUUACAUGGCAGCCCUCCCUCUCUCACCAAAACAAAAUAUUCCUCUCUAAAGAAGAAAUUAAAGGGUUAACACUAAAAUUUCAACUUCAAAUUGUUGGGGGUGUUACCAGUAUCCAAGUCUAAGCUCCUUCGACUGUAGGCCCUUGGUUCCUCUGCUUUCAGUUAGCAGGUUUUAUUUUGGAGCAGAGGGAGCCUUAGUCGAGUUUGGAAGGAGCUGGUUUUAGUUUGAUAUGCAUAGAUCCUAAAUUAGCAAUUUGAUGUUUAGCUUUGUAGUAUUGUGUAUUUUAGGAUCUAAAGAAAGUUGUGUACCUUAAAGUAUUAAGAGACGUAUUAUGUGAAAGUGUGGAAAUUAAAUGAUUGGUGGAUUAUAUUA
Molecule: long non-coding RNA, 1046 nt
Organism: Quercus robur (English oak)
Lineage: Eukaryota; Viridiplantae; Streptophyta; Magnoliopsida; Fagales; Fagaceae
Exons: 3
Source: RefSeq, a predicted model, not a curated record